CUGCCUCUGAAUUUGUUCCUUCCUAAAUUUAAAACACCAAGAGUCUUACUUCUCUCCAUUAAACAGGGUGGUAUUGUGCCACUCAAACUGUUGUUGGACAGAUCAAGAACUUGUAGAUAACUAGCAUUGCAUAUUGAUUCAGGAAUAACUCCUACGAUGCCAUUGUUUGAAAGAGAAAAGAAAAUGGUGAAGGAGAGAGACUUACCAAUGUUAGGUGGUAUGGAAGAAAAGUUAUUGUUUGAGCAAUCCACAUAGGUAACAGAUGGCGGAGGAAGUGGAACAUUCCCUUGGAGCACGUUAUUGUGCAGGUCCAAUACAGCAAGACUAGUAGGGAGAGAAAGAGGUUCUGGUAGACUCAUCAGCAGAUUCUGUGAAAGAUUCAGAUAGAGGAGAGUGUCAAAACCAACUUCUCCAAUCCAUCGAGGUACUUUUCCAUUAAUUUGGUUAUCUGACAGGUCUAAAUAGACUAGUUUUGACUGAUUUCUUAGAUAAGGAAAUACUUUUAGAUUGCAAGAAGCCAGUUUUAUUGUGGUCAUCUGCGGAAGGGAAUACAAUGUGAAAUUUGCAAUCACUGUCAACUUGUUGUGUGAAAGAUUAAGCGUGGCAAGUUUAUGAAGCUUCUGAAUCCAACCUAGCUUUAUAGUGCCACUGAACUUGUUGGAGGAAAGUAAGAGGACGUUGAGUCUGCUGAUAUUAAAUACCCAACGGGGAAUAUGCCCUUCUAGUUUGUUACUACUCAAAUCCAGGGUAUCCAAAGAAGAAGAAGAUGCGCCUGAGAUGUUAGGAAAUUGACCUGUAAAUUGGUUGAAAGAAAGCUGAAUCUUCUGCAGUGAUGGGAUUGCGAACAAAGAUGACGGAAUGUCCCCAUUAAGUGAAUUAUACCUCAAGUCGACAUAGGUAAGAUUCAGAAGGCCUGCCCAUUGAGUGGAUGAUAUCUCACCAGACAAUUGAUUGUAAGAAAAAUCUAUAUACAUGAGUUUCUUGGACCUGCCCAAUGAUGGGAUUGGACCACUGAAUAUGUUGGAUGAGAAGUCUAAAUGGACAAGUUCAGUGAGAUUCGCUAUUGAAGUAGGAAUCAAUCCACUGAAGUUGCAAGCUUCAAGCCCUAUUUUUGACAGAUUCUUAAGUGUACCGAUGGAAUCUGGUAGUGCCCCUGAAAAAUUUGUGUAGCUGAG
This 1175-nucleotide unclassified non-coding RNA is filed under the name Hevea brasiliensis (rubber tree). Lineage: Eukaryota; Viridiplantae; Streptophyta; Magnoliopsida; Malpighiales; Euphorbiaceae. The record is from RNAcentral.